CACGUAGGCGGAUUGGAAAGUAGGGGGUGAAAUCCCGGGGCUCAACCCCGGAACUGCCUUCUAAACUCCCAGUCUAGAGUUCGAGAGAGGUGAGUGGAAUUCCAAGUGUAGAGGUGAAAUUCGUAGAUAUUUGGAGGAACACCAGUGGCGAAGGCGGCUCACUGGCUCGAUACUGACGCUGAGGUGCGAAAGUGUGGGGAGCAAACA
Molecule: ribosomal RNA, 207 nt
Filed under: uncultured bacterium
Lineage: Bacteria
Description: partial 16S ribosomal RNA
Rfam family: Bacterial small subunit ribosomal RNA
Source: RNAcentral